RNAcentral lists this transfer RNA (72 nucleotides) under Ovis aries (sheep). It matches the Rfam family "tRNA". From Rfam's summary of the family: Transfer RNA (tRNA) molecules are approximately 80 nucleotides in length. Their secondary structure includes four short double-helical elements and three loops (D, anti-codon, and T loops). Further hydrogen bonds mediate the characteristic L-shaped molecular structure. tRNAs have two regions of fundamental functional importance: the anti-codon, which is responsible for specific mRNA codon recognition, and the 3' end, to which the tRNAs corresponding amino acid is attached (by aminoacyl-tRNA synthetases). tRNAs cope with the degeneracy of the genetic code in two manners: having more than one tRNA (with a specific anti-codon) for a particular amino acid; and 'wobble' base-pairing, i.e. permitting non-standard base-pairing at the 3rd anti-codon position. The record is from Rfam by way of RNAcentral. Lineage: Eukaryota; Metazoa; Chordata; Mammalia; Artiodactyla; Bovidae.
UCCCUGGUGGCUCAGACGGUAAAGCGCCUGUCUACAAUGUAGGAGACCCAGGUUCGAUACCUGGGUUGGGAA